RNAcentral lists this ribosomal RNA (524 nucleotides) under uncultured bacterium. Its description in RNAcentral is "partial 16S ribosomal RNA". It matches the Rfam family "Bacterial small subunit ribosomal RNA", at positions 28 to 523 of the family's 1533-position model. The record is from RNAcentral.
GACGAACGCUGGCGGCGUGCCUAAUACAUGCAAGUCGAACGAAGCUGUUUUAACUGGUGCUUGCACCGACUUAAACAACUGAGUGGCGAACGGGUGAGUAACACGUGGGUAACCUGCCCCAAAGCGGGGGAUAACAUUUGGAAACAGAUGCUAAUACCGCAUAACCACAGAAACCACAUGGUUUCUGUGUCAAAGAUGGUUUCGGCUAUCACUCUGGGAUGGACCCGCGGCGUAUUAGCUAGUUGGUAAGUUAAUGGCUUACCAAGGCAAUGAUACGUAGCCGAACUGAGAGGUUGAUCGGCCACAUUGGGACUGAGACACGGCCCAAACUCCUACGGGAGGCAGCAGUAGGGAAUCUUCCACAAUGGACGAAAGUCUGAUGGAGCAACGCCGCGUGAGUGAAGAAGGUUUUCGGAUCGUAAAACUCUGUUGUCAGAGAAGAACGUGUGCGAGAGUAACUGUUCGUGCAGUGACGGUAUCUGGCCAGAAAGCCACGGCUAACUACGAGCCAGCCGCCGCGGUAA